GCGAACUCCGGGCCAGCAGGGGCGGUAAGACGGAGGGUGCAAGCGUGAAUCGGAAGUACUGGGCGUCAAGCGCACGCAGGCGGUUGGAUAAGUUAGAUGUGAAAGCCCCGGGCUCAACCUGGGAAUUGCAUUUAAGACUGUCCAGCUAGAGUCUUGUAGAGGGGGGUAGAAUUCCAGGUGUAGCGGUGAAAUGCGUAGAGAUCUGGAGGAAUACCGGUGGCGAAGGCGGCCCCCUGGACAAAGACUGACGCUCAGGUGCGAAAGCGUGGGGAGCAAACAGGAUUAGAUACCCCAGUAGUC
Molecule: ribosomal RNA, 300 nt
Filed under: uncultured Lactobacillus sp.
Lineage: Bacteria; Bacillati; Bacillota; Bacilli; Lactobacillales; Lactobacillaceae
Description: bacterial SSU rRNA
Rfam family: Bacterial small subunit ribosomal RNA
Source: RNAcentral